Molecule: ribosomal RNA, 433 nt
Filed under: uncultured bacterium
Lineage: Bacteria
Description: partial 16S ribosomal RNA
Rfam family: Bacterial small subunit ribosomal RNA
Source: RNAcentral
AACGAACGCUGGCGGCAUGCCUAACACAUGCAAGUCGAACGAGACCUUCGGGUCUAGUGGCGCACGGGUGCGUAACGCGUGGGAACCUGCCCUUAGGUUCGGAAUAACUCCCCGAAAGGGGUGCUAAUACCGGAUAAUGUCUUCGGACCAAAGAUUUAUCGCCUUUGGAUGGGCCCGCGUUGGAUUAGCUAGUUGGUAGGGUAAAAGCCUACCAAGGCGACGAUCCAUAGCUGGUCGGAGAGGAUGAUCAGCCACACUGGGACUGAGACACGGCCCAGACUCCUACGGGAGGCAGCAGUGGGGAAUAUUGGACAAUGGGCGAAAGCCUGAUCCAGCAAUGCCGCGUGAGUGAUGAAGGCCUUAGAGUUGUAAAGCUCUUUUACCCGGGAUGAUAGUGACAGUACCGGGAGAAUAAGCUCCGGCUAACUCCGUG